CAGGUUCAAUAGUUCUUCCAGCUUCAAGACUGUUUAUUGUAAUCUGAAAGAUGAUGUGCAGCAGCAGAAAUGAUAGACUGGUGAAACACAGAGAUUUUAAUAAUCGUCCUGUAUGCCCUUGCAUCGUUGUUUUUGUGGGUUCUGAAAACAAAGGAAUGAGCAGUAGGUAGAUGAGGUAGACAAAGGAGAGUCCAUUGUAACGGAAAGCACAGGCGGCAGCCAGGCACACGGGCAGCAGCAGCCUGAAGGUGAGCCCGCACAGCACCUCGGUGGCCAUCGCGCCGGGGCAGGACGUCGGCCGGGCGGCCGCGGAGCCGUCCCUGGGUGCGCUGCUCUACGGCCGGCCGUGCGCGGAGCCGCCGCGGCGGCGGAGCAUCGCCCGUCCCCGCCUCAGCCGCCUCCCGCCUCCCGCCGCAUCCCGCGGCAGCGCCGCGCCGCACCCGGCCCGGGCCACGCACACGCCCGCCCCCUCGGGGCUCCGCGCCCGCCUCCCGCUGCCCUCCUCCUUCUCCUCCU
This 516-nucleotide long non-coding RNA is filed under the name Gallus gallus (chicken). The record is from RNAcentral. Lineage: Eukaryota; Metazoa; Chordata; Aves; Galliformes; Phasianidae.